UUUCCAUACUAAUGUUUGGGAG
This 22-nucleotide non-coding RNA is filed under the name Arabidopsis thaliana (thale cress). Lineage: Eukaryota; Viridiplantae; Streptophyta; Magnoliopsida; Brassicales; Brassicaceae. The record is from RNAcentral.